ACAUCUCGGCGAGCACCACACUUCACCAGCUUGGAGCAGGCGGCGUAUCAACCUUUGUGGUUGGUCAUUUGCAUCCGCGUGUGCAGCAGGGUGCUUUGGGCGUGGCGGUCGGGGGAGCUCUGCAGCACUUGGCUGUUUUUUUGGGGUGUGGCUCGUCUUCGUGCCCUUGUUGCCUGGUGUCUGGAUGCCUGGCGCCCGCCCUGCUGUGAUGCCCUGUGAGUGCUGAUCCUGGGCAGCUAUGCAGUUGCUGGGUGAUCCUGGCUGGUUCCGCCUGGUGUCUCAGCGCAGCCAAGACACCAGGGGCCAACGCCAGCCAUACAGCACGCUAGCGGGGUCCAGCCGGCGGAAGGCG
Molecule: long non-coding RNA, 352 nt
Filed under: Chlamydomonas reinhardtii
Lineage: Eukaryota; Viridiplantae; Chlorophyta; Chlorophyceae; Chlamydomonadales; Chlamydomonadaceae
Description: long non-coding RNA (CREI_LNC000615)
Source: RNAcentral